This 960-nucleotide long non-coding RNA is filed under the name Musa acuminata (dwarf banana). Its description in RNAcentral is "long non-coding RNA (MACU_LNC000624)". The record is from RNAcentral. Lineage: Eukaryota; Viridiplantae; Streptophyta; Magnoliopsida; Zingiberales; Musaceae.
GCUAAUCAAGAGUGAGUCAGCAAACCGAGUUGUUCCCCUUGCAGAUCAUUAAUGGUGACGGUGCUGAAAAUAGAUAGAUAAUGAUGCAUGUGCAUUGCCUACCAGUGAAGAAUUGGUAUCCCCUACCUUAGAUAGAGGACUUACUGGACUAUCUCCAACAUUAUCUUAACCAAACUAGAUAUCAAGUUGGGUUAUCAUCAAGUCUGAAUUCGAAAAGAAGAAACAUGGAAAAUAGGCUUCAAAAUGCAUCAAUGGUUGUUCGAGUGACUGGUCAUGCAAUUCAGACUUUGCAACACCCCUGCCACAUUCAUGCAGUUCAUGGACGACAUGUUAUGUCCACACAUUAGUGACUUUGUCAUCAUCUACCUCAACAACAUCCUUAUUUAUAGUCGAUCGAGGGAAGAACAUAUUGAGCAUAUAUAGGAGGUGGUCGACCUUUCAGAGAAAUAUCAACUAUGGCUCAACCUAAAGAAGUGCAAGUUUGAGAAAGAAAACCUCCUUUAUCUUGGCUUUGUCAGAGGUGGAAGAAAGAUCCAGAUUGACUAGGACAAAGUCAAGGUGAUCUACAAGUGGCCGAGUUUAACAACAGCCAUGGAGGUUCGGAGCUUCAUGGGGGCAUGCUAAUAUCUCCGGAAGUUCAUCCGAAACUUCUUCGUCCUUGCUGCACUACUAUACUCCCUCAUCGAGGCAAGUUAAAACUUAGAGUGGAUGACAAAACACAACGAUAUGCUCCUCUUGCUCAAGAGAAGAUCAACGAUGCUCUCAUCCUACCCUUGUCGAACUUGCAAUGAUCAUUUGAGUUCGAGGAGGACAUAUUCUAAUAUACGAUGGGAGCUAUUUUGAUGUAAGAUGGUCAAUUGAUGACAUACCUCUCCGAGAUGUUUCAAGUUUCUCAGAAGAACUACCCAACAUAUGACAACAAAUUACUCAUGCUAAACCAAGCCAUCAAGCAUUAGCAUG